GCCGGAUUGGCGGAAUGGCAGACGCGGAGCACUCAAAAUGCUUUGUUCGUAAGGACGUGUGGGUUCAAGUCCCAUAUCCGGCA
Molecule: transfer RNA, 83 nt
Filed under: Microbacteriaceae bacterium
Lineage: Bacteria; Bacillati; Actinomycetota; Actinomycetes; Micrococcales; Microbacteriaceae
Rfam family: tRNA
About the family: Transfer RNA (tRNA) molecules are approximately 80 nucleotides in length. Their secondary structure includes four short double-helical elements and three loops (D, anti-codon, and T loops). Further hydrogen bonds mediate the characteristic L-shaped molecular structure. tRNAs have two regions of fundamental functional importance: the anti-codon, which is responsible for specific mRNA codon recognition, and the 3' end, to which the tRNAs corresponding amino acid is attached (by aminoacyl-tRNA synthetases). tRNAs cope with the degeneracy of the genetic code in two manners: having more than one tRNA (with a specific anti-codon) for a particular amino acid; and 'wobble' base-pairing, i.e. permitting non-standard base-pairing at the 3rd anti-codon position.
Source: Rfam by way of RNAcentral